RNAcentral lists this long non-coding RNA (304 nucleotides) under Homo sapiens (human). Its description in RNAcentral is "non-protein coding lnc-MTHFD1-5:1". Lineage: Eukaryota; Metazoa; Chordata; Mammalia; Primates; Hominidae. The record is from RNAcentral.
AGAGGGGCGCAGGCGCGGUAGCGCGGCCUCCCGAGCUGUUGUAAGCACCAGGUUGCGGUGGAACGUGCACCUUCAGUUGGGCUGCACGGAAAAGUGGUCUCCGCAUAAACAGUUGCACUUGCCCCUAGGGAAUGUUGGACCACAGGAGGGGACCUGAAGUACGAUGUACAGGCCCUAAUGGUCCCUCUGUAUGGAAGCGAACACUUGCAGGGGAGGGGCCCAGCGGGAUAGGCCGGGAACAAGGAGGCAGAUCUCAGCCUGCCACACCUGAAGACAAGUACCUUGCAGCUGAGGAAUGGGGCCC